Molecule: ribosomal RNA, 228 nt
Filed under: uncultured bacterium
Lineage: Bacteria
Description: partial 16S ribosomal RNA
Rfam family: Bacterial small subunit ribosomal RNA
Source: RNAcentral
UGCGUAGGCGGGCUAAUAAGUCAGUGGUGAAAUCUCUCGGCUCAACCGGGAAACUGCCAUUGAUACUGUUAGUCUUGAGUUCGGUUGAGGUAGGCGGAAUGUGUAAUGUAGCGGUGAAAUGCUUAGAUAUUACACAGAACACCAAUUGCGUAGGCAGCUUACUAGACCGACACUGACGCUGAGGCACGAAAGCGUGGGUAGCGAACAGGAUUAGAUACCCUGGUAGUC